Molecule: long non-coding RNA, 1767 nt
Organism: Solea senegalensis (Senegalese sole)
Lineage: Eukaryota; Metazoa; Chordata; Actinopteri; Pleuronectiformes; Soleidae
Exons: 3
Source: RefSeq, a predicted model, not a curated record
UUUUCAUUACUCAUCUCGACAGCACGUUUUAUUCUACAGCAACUUGAGCAAACACCCGACAUGUGUUUUCAGUCUGCUAUCACAGAAAAAAAACUACACAAGCUCUUAACAAUGACUCAGCAGGAAAGUGAAUAAACACUUGAGAUGUAAACACAUGCAUUUGCGAGGCUCUCUGCGACCGGUAUAACAGUUUUCAGGACAUAAAUUGAGUCUGGAUGAUUUUUUUUUUUCGCAGCAGCUGGAAGUUGUCAGCUUCAGACGCAUGUGUUACAACAGCGGCGGGAGAAUGUCUCUGAAACACUCGGUCUGAGUUUGGACUACAGGAACCGACACACUUUCUCACUGUGAAACAUCCUGAGCUCUUCCUGCUUUAUUCUCACCACGGAGUGCAUGUGAGACUUUGGACGAAGCCUCCAUUGUUUGAAAAGUGACGCCAAAAGGAGUGGGACGGAAGCAGAUGUAGUAGAACUCCGUUUUAAUCAAAGUCUACAGGAAAAAUGAGCUUCUACUUCUCACUCCAACAUUUGUAAAGCAGGUGAAGUCUAUAAAUACCAAAAUGCCGGCCAAAUCCAAGAUUUUGUUUUGCAACUGGAAGACACUGUCUAUUUUUAUAGAUGGUCUACUCACCCUAUUCCUAUGAUUCGUAAAUUAUGGGUUUGACACACGUUUUCCAUGGUAACUGGAUGCUAAUCGCCAAGCAUGACUGUGAAAUUUAACUCGUGGGAACAUUAACCUGUUACACCUCAAGAGAGAUGAUGUCACCAUUCACUGCCACCUUCUACACAGUUAAUGUUUUACUGUGAAAUCAACUAUGAUCAGGGCAAGAGUACAAUAAUUUAAGUUUUGGAGUCAUUGAGAUGGUAAAAAGUCUAGUUGCGGGGAGAGUGGGGGGCUGUCUCCACUGCCCCCUACUGUCUGUUAUUGGAAAACCAGCGUUGGAAGAUCAGGGCCACUGACCCGGAGUCCUCAGAAUCAGGAGGAACCACAAAUUGCCCCGUUAUAAACCGGCAAUAAGACCAAGCGACGUUGUUGGGGGAAGCAAAGAAGAGGAAACGACUUUUCUGACCAAGCGAGGGGGCCACACACGAGUAGGGUCAGAACCAGAGGCGUGAAAGGCUCUCAUCACACACAGGAAUUCUUUCUACCAUUUCACAGACUUUCAGAGCACUACAUCACACUUUACUUGAAACCCGAAACCUGAAACUGGAACAAAAGGAGAACAAGCAGGAAGUGGCGGAGACAACACAAACACUGAAAAAUAAAUCACGGACCUGCCAUGAAGGAAUUAUACACAAGUGUGAGACGUUUACAGGAAUUCAGCUCGUUCUGUUAAUCUUUUAUGGAGAGCGAGUUGGUUUCCAGAGUCUGCAGUUCAACAACACAACUCCAGACAAUCUAAAUGAAAAUGAAACUUUUACCACAAUUAUUUUUGUGUUAGCAGUUUUUGUUCAGUUUAGGAAGUUGAAAUUGCAGUUGGGGGAUUUUCUUGACUAGAAGGACUGAGUUACCAUCCAAGUAAGACCAGAACUGUACACACAACCAUAUAUUACAUAAUUAAUAACUACUAAAUGAAUGAACAUCUUAUUGAAUAACAUCUUAUAUGAAUAUCUUAUUUCACCUGAAAUGUUCUUCUGUGGCAGUGAACAGAAUUUCUUUGGUUAUUUACAUUUUUUGGAACAUUAUUAAGUAGUUGUAGUAGUUUCACUUUCAUGUGCUAAACUUAGUUGCCUCGACUCGCCUUUGGCGUAGACUGAGGCGAUGUUUAUC